This 117-nucleotide ribosomal RNA is filed under the name Allomuricauda sp. RNAcentral's name for it is "partial 16S ribosomal RNA". It matches the Rfam family "Bacterial small subunit ribosomal RNA", at positions 1 to 100 of the family's 1533-position model. The record is from RNAcentral. Lineage: Bacteria; Pseudomonadati; Bacteroidota; Flavobacteriia; Flavobacteriales; Flavobacteriaceae.
ACAACGGAGAGUUUGAUCCUGGCUCAGGAUGAACGCUGGCGGCGUGCUUAACACAUGCUAGUCGAACGGGAAACAUUUUAUUGAAGCUUCGGCAGAUUUAGUUUGUUUCUAGUGGCG